AGAAAGUAGAGAGAAAGAGGGAGAGCACAGUAAGAGAAAGAAAGCGAGAUUGUGGAAGAAAGAGCUAGAGAUUUGAACCAUGGAACCUAAGAUGCACGAGAAUGAGAGCGUUGAUGAGGCGGUGGCUCGAAGUCGAAAUAGAGAUGGGGCGGAUAAACACGGUGGCGGCUCAAGGUCCUUCUAUUUCCGGCAAAGAUGAUGAAUGUGGAGAAGCUAAUGAAAAUGGUGGGUGAUGUUCGCCCCGUUGCAACAAUGGUGGAUUUCAGCGGCUUGAGAAACUAUAGGAUAACAACUAACUCCUGUGUUAGCGAAAAAUAUGAACCUACUGUUAGCUUUGAGGGUAUGUGAGAAUGGGGCACAGGUGCCUUUUUUUCUGCUUUGAGUUGGCUGGGUUAGAAUAAUAUGGAUUGGGCAAAUGGAUACUAGAGUUGGUUGUAAUGUUAUAUUGUUACACGUAUAAUUAUUUUGUUGAGUUGAAUAGUUGAUUCACAAAGUA
Molecule: long non-coding RNA, 496 nt
Organism: Helianthus annuus (common sunflower)
Lineage: Eukaryota; Viridiplantae; Streptophyta; Magnoliopsida; Asterales; Asteraceae
Exons: 2
Source: RefSeq, a predicted model, not a curated record